AUUUAUCUUUCCAAGACUACUAUUUCAUGCUUCCCAAGGCAGCUGCACUGUAUGUGAGAGCAGCAUGGAAAAGCACUAACAGCUCAAGUAAGUAUAAUACUGGCGGCUGCCAUUCUCCUUCCCUGUAAUG
Molecule: small nucleolar RNA, 130 nt
Filed under: Dipodomys ordii (Ord's kangaroo rat)
Lineage: Eukaryota; Metazoa; Chordata; Mammalia; Rodentia; Heteromyidae
Description: Small nucleolar RNA SNORA44 (ENSDORG00000022817.2)
Source: RNAcentral